RNAcentral lists this ribosomal RNA (468 nucleotides) under uncultured bacterium. RNAcentral's name for it is "partial 16S ribosomal RNA". It matches the Rfam family "Bacterial small subunit ribosomal RNA", at positions 28 to 507 of the family's 1533-position model. The record is from RNAcentral.
GACGAACGCUGGCGGCGUGCUUAACACAUGCAAGUCGAACGGAAAGGCCCUGCUUUUGUGGGGUGCUCGAGUGGCGAACGGGUGAGUAACACGUGAGUAACCUGCCCUUGACUUUGGGAUAACUUCAUGAAACUGGGGCUAAUACCGGAUAGGAGCUCCUGCUGCAUGGUGGGGGUUGGAAAGUUUCGGCGGUUGGGGAUGGACUCGCGGCUUAUCAGCUUGUUGGUGGGGUAGUGGCUUACCAAGGCUUUGACGGGUAGCCGGCCUGAGAGGGGGACCGGCCACAUUGGGCCUGAGAUACGGCCCAGACUCGUAUGGGAGGCAGCAGUGGGGAAGAUUGCACAGUGGGCGGAGGCCUGAUGCAGCCACGCCGCGUGCGGGAUGACGUCCUUCGGGUUGUAAACCGCUUUCGCCUGUGACGAAGCGUGAGUGACGGUAAUGGGUAAAGAAGCACCGGCUAACUACGUG